UUCAAGAGCCCAUCUAUGCCACCAUCGGCGCGGGUGUGGUUAAUACUAUCUUCACUGUAGUUUCCUAUUUCUGGUGGAAAGGGCAGGAAGAAGGACUCUGCAUAUGAUAGGCCUUGGAGGGAUGGCUUUUUGUUCCACGCUCAUGACUGUUUCUUUGUUAUUAAAGAUAACUAUAAUGGGAUGAGCUUUGUCUGUAUUGGGGCUAUCUUGGUCUUUGUAGCCUUCUUUGAAAUUGGACCAGGCCCCAUUCCCUGGUUUAUUGUGGCCGAACUCUUCAGCCAGGGCCCCCGCCCAGCUGCGAUGGCAGUGGCCGGCUGCUCCAACUGGACCUCCAACUUCCUAGUCGGAUUGCUCUUCCCCUCCGCUGCCACUAUUUAGGAGCCUACGUUUUUAUUAUCUUCACCGGCUUCCUCAUUACCUUCUUGGCUUUUACCUUCUUCAAAGUCCCUGAGA
RNAcentral lists this long non-coding RNA (453 nucleotides) under Homo sapiens (human). Its description in RNAcentral is "non-protein coding lnc-SLC2A14-3:1". Lineage: Eukaryota; Metazoa; Chordata; Mammalia; Primates; Hominidae. The record is from RNAcentral.